Molecule: long non-coding RNA, 286 nt
Organism: Passer domesticus (house sparrow)
Lineage: Eukaryota; Metazoa; Chordata; Aves; Passeriformes; Passeridae
Exons: 3
Source: RefSeq, a predicted model, not a curated record
UGGAAUAGUGCCUGGCACACACUGACUACCAACAGGGAAGACACCACAAAUGGACUUUAGACAAUUUAAAGACAAAUGAUGGCCUCUCCAGCAUCCAGGUCCCUGGUGAUUAAGAAAAAUGUCCAAAGAAACAUUUUCUUCCCAUAAAAACUUGGGACCAAGGACAACCGCCCAAAUUUUGAGCCCAAGAGCAUAAACAAUGUGGACUGAAGAGAGAAAAACAAGAAGAAUGGGGCUUCAUAACCUAAAGCUGUAACUGGACAAUAACUCCAAUAUGCUAACGAAC